Molecule: transfer RNA, 66 nt
Filed under: Cacodacnus planicollis
Lineage: Eukaryota; Metazoa; Arthropoda; Insecta; Coleoptera; Cerambycidae
Description: tRNA-Pro
Source: RNAcentral
CAAGGAAUAGUUUAUUAAAAAUUUUAAUUUUGGAGAUUAAAGAAGAGAAGCUUUUCUUUUCCUUGA